Helianthus annuus (common sunflower) is the source of this 996-nucleotide RNA transcript. RefSeq lists it as uncharacterized. The record is from RefSeq and is a predicted model, not a curated record. The transcript has 4 exons. Lineage: Eukaryota; Viridiplantae; Streptophyta; Magnoliopsida; Asterales; Asteraceae.
UCCCCCUCCUUUAGAAAACCCUAGAUUUCCCAUUGUUCAUCAUUCUCCUGCUUCAACCUCUUUAAUCCAUCAAUCUCUACCGUAACCCAAUUGAUUUAACCAUCAGGUACAUAGUUAGUAUUGCUCAUUUUCUCGAUUUGAAACCCUAUGGUUGACUCAAACGCAUUUUCCCAAUUUGAAACCCUCUCGAAAACAUUCCUCUGUUCGAAUUUGACCACCGUUUGUACUCCGACCAAGUCUUGUCGGCAUCAAUCGGGAUGGGGUUUUACAUGGGAAUAUGAUAUUGUAACCAAAGUUGGUGUGGCUUUACCUAUACAGCUCAGUUUCGCUACCCUUGACUUGGAGUUGCAUAGUAAGUAUGUUCGUAUGGCUUUAGAAGGGCAGCCUACUAUUGUUGUGGAUGAUUUAUUUGUUGUGGAUCACUUCAUUCUAAACCCGCAGACAAGAAGGGUAGCACCGCUAUUCAUAUGGCUACCAGGAACUGUCGAUCAAAGGUGUUUGGUGGAACAUGGCGAUGUGGCUGACGAGCCAUUGUUAUAGUUGUAGAGGAAUGACCGGAAUUGGUCAUUCCGGGUCGGUCAAAUCCGUGAUAAACACAUUACAAAUAUACAUACAAAUUUUGAACCUCUUUCAUCUAAUGGCUGACUCUUAACAUUCCCGCUAUAGCUUCGGAUCUUGAAAAGGGCAUAUUAAAGGUACACCCAAUUCCAUCUUUCCUAUAAUUUUAUUUUUGUAAAUAUAAUUAAACUAUAACCGGGGCCCGCAAUCCGGUUAUAACUUGGAUCUUUGUUAUUCUUUGUUAAUUUUUACUAAGGGAAAGGUUUUGGCAACUCAAAGGAUAUGCAUCUUCAAAGGGACUCGACUAUCUUUAAAUUGUAUUUCCACUUUGUCACUAAUUUAUGUAAGAUGAGACUUUGUAUUUUGUUUUGUUUGUACACUUAAUAUUUAUCUAAUUAAUUUUCUCCAGCCCGGGAAGCAAUCCCGGGUGAUAACCUA